Molecule: non-coding RNA, 103 nt
Organism: Erinaceus europaeus (western European hedgehog)
Lineage: Eukaryota; Metazoa; Chordata; Mammalia; Eulipotyphla; Erinaceidae
Source: Rfam
AUCCUUUUGUUGUUCAUAAGUGUGGUGCUUGGGUUGUCGUGAUUGUUUUGAGAUGUGCCACAUGUAAACCUCCUUACUAUGUCAGCACAUUAUCUGUCGGACU